RNAcentral lists this unclassified non-coding RNA (554 nucleotides) under Penicillium neoechinulatum. RNAcentral describes it as "sequence contains 18S rRNA gene, ITS1, 5.8S rRNA gene, ITS2, 28S rRNA gene". The stretch from base 220 to 372 matches the Rfam family "5.8S ribosomal RNA". Lineage: Eukaryota; Fungi; Ascomycota; Eurotiomycetes; Eurotiales; Aspergillaceae. The record is from RNAcentral.
UCGUAACAAGGUUUCCGUAGGUGAACCUGCGGAAGGAUCAUUACCGAGUGAGGGCCCUUUGGGUCCAACCUCCCACCCGUGUUUAUUUUACCUUGUUGCUUCGGCGGGCCCGCCUUUACUGGCCGCCGGGGGGCUCACGCCCCCGGGCCCGCGCCCGCCGAAGACACCCUCGAACUCUGUCUGAAGAUUGAAGUCUGAGUGAAAAUAUAAAUUAUUUAAAACUUUCAACAACGGAUCUCUUGGUUCCGGCAUCGAUGAAGAACGCAGCGAAAUGCGAUACGUAAUGUGAAUUGCAAAUUCAGUGAAUCAUCGAGUCUUUGAACGCACAUUGCGCCCCCUGGUAUUCCGGGGGGCAUGCCUGUCCGAGCGUCAUUGCUGCCCUCAAGCCCGGCUUGUGUGUUGGGCCCCGUCCUCCGAUUCCGGGGGACGGGCCCGAAAGGCAGCGGCGGCACCGCGUCCGGUCCUCGAGCGUAUGGGGCUUUGUCACCCGCUCUGUAGGCCCGGCCGGCGCUUGCCGAUCAACCCAAAUUUUUAUCCAGGUUGACCUCGGAUCA